This 694-nucleotide non-coding RNA is filed under the name Pongo abelii (Sumatran orangutan). Lineage: Eukaryota; Metazoa; Chordata; Mammalia; Primates; Hominidae. The record is from RNAcentral.
CAAAAAGUACAGUGUGUAGAACAGGAAGGCCCUCAAAUAAAACUAUUAUUUUUAUUAAUUGUAUCAUGCUUUAUAGGCUCUCCCAUAACAGAACGUGACCCCCAGCUCUAUUAGGACAGAAAUCACUUGCAAGAGUGUGUCCCUAGCACACAGCAGGUAAAAAGCAAGCCUCUGUCUGUCCCCAUACCUUUCUUACUAGAAAACCUGUCUAAGUUGUUGACUGAUAACAGAGAGAAAAUUUGCAUAUACAGCUAAUUCUGAAUUUUCCUCACUACCUCUAGAAGAUGGGAGGGGUUUAACCAACUGUGUAACUUUCCACAUAUCAUUUCAUCUUUUUGGACAUAAUUUUACUAUAUGUACAGAGAAUCAGAGAAUUGAGCCAGACAACCAUCAAGUUUCUUUCUAACUCUACUAAUUGGCCUUGAUGAUUUAUUACUUAGAGCUUUAAAAUUUUAAUAACAUUUUCUUUUCAUGGAUAAAUUUAAAGUUAACAUCUGCGUAUCUGUUUAGAAAUGGAAAACAAUGAAUCCAUCAUAUCACAAAGUAUAGUAAUAUGAAGAAAAUAUAGAGAAUUUUUUUCCCUAUAACUUAUAAAAGUGAUAGGUCACUGAGCAUGGUGGCUCACACCUGUAAUCCCAGCACUUUAGGAGGCUGAGGCAGGAGGAUCACUGAGGCAUGAGAAUCGCUUAAACCC